RNAcentral lists this long non-coding RNA (422 nucleotides) under Arachis ipaensis. Its description in RNAcentral is "long non-coding RNA (AIPA_LNC000718)". Lineage: Eukaryota; Viridiplantae; Streptophyta; Magnoliopsida; Fabales; Fabaceae. The record is from RNAcentral.
CAUAGCUUAUAUAUAUUCAGUACUAACCUACAUGUUUGUGUUGGUGCAGUGGCGAGCCAUGACUCUGCCUGAUAGAUACAUUGAGCAUGGAUCUCAGAAGGAUCAAAUUCAAGCAGUGAUAUUCAGUACUGACCUACAUGUUUGUGUUAGUGCAGUGGCGAGCCAUGACUCUACCUGAUAGAUACAUUGAGCAUGGAUCUCAGAAGGAUCAAAUUCAAGCAGUGGGGUUGAGUUCAAACCAUAUUGUAGCUACUGCUUUGUCAUUAACCAAUGUUCAAUGGGACAAUCGUUUGCUUCUCAGCAUGGAAAUAUGAACCUUGUUAUUAAUAGGAUUUCAAAUGUAAAUAAAUAUAUAACACUAAUAAAUUAAAACUCUGCCAAAGAUUUGUUAUUAGACCGUGUUUAUUUGAUGAUUAUUAAAA